RNAcentral lists this ribosomal RNA (746 nucleotides) under uncultured Staphylococcus sp. Its description in RNAcentral is "bacterial SSU rRNA". It matches the Rfam family "Bacterial small subunit ribosomal RNA", at positions 52 to 780 of the family's 1533-position model. Lineage: Bacteria; Bacillati; Bacillota; Bacilli; Caryophanales; Staphylococcaceae. The record is from RNAcentral.
UACAUGCAAGUCGAGCGAACAGACGAGGAGCUUGCUCCUCUGACGUUAGCGGCGGACGGGUGAGUAACACGUGGAUAACCUACCUAUAAGACUGGGAUAACUUCGGGAAACCGGAGCUAAUACCGGAUAAUAUAUUGAACCGCAUGGUUCAAUAGUGAAAGACGGUUUUGCUGUCACUUAUAGAUGGAUCCGCGCCGCAUUAGCUAGUUGGUAAGGUAACGGCUUACCAAGGCAACGAUGCGUAGCCGACCUGAGAGGGUGAUCGGCCACACUGGAACUGAGACACGGUCCAGACUCCUACGGGAGGCAGCAGUAGGGAAUCUUCCGCAAUGGGCGAAAGCCUGACGGAGCAACGCCGCGUGAGUGAUGAAGGUCUUCGGAUCGUAAAACUCUGUUAUUAGGGAAGAACAAAUGUGUAAGUAACUAUGCACGUCUUGACGGUACCUAAUCAGAAAGCCACGGCUAACUACGUGCCAGCAGCCGCGGUAAUACGUAGGUGGCAAGCGUUAUCCGGAAUUAUUGGGCGUAAAGCGCGCGUAGGCGGUUUUUUAAGUCUGAUGUGAAAGCCCACGGCUCAACCGUGGAGGGUCAUUGGAAACUGGAAAACUUGAGUGCAGAAGAGGAAAGUGGAAUUCCAUGUGUAGCGGUGAAAUGCGCAGAGAUAUGGAGGAACACCAGUGGCGAAGGCGACUUUCUGGUCUGUAACUGACGCUGAUGUGCGAAAGCGUGGGGAUCAAACAGGAUUA